GAAACCCUCUGAGCUGCUAACUCUUUCAGGGAGAAAAUCACAAGCCAUCCUCUCAAGUUCCCCUAGAAACCUGUGGAAUGCCCUCUGCCGAGCACUGCUCUGGUACCGGGGAGUGGAGUAUUAUGUCUUGGAAGAGACUCCUGCUGUGAUUGUCCAGGGGUGUUUCUCCUGAGAAAGAAAAAAACCACCUGCCCCUGACAUUCAGAAGCUGACAACACUGUUCGGUCAUGCCAUUCUCCUGUUGGACAUAAACAGUCUCUGAAUGCCAACCCCAAAGUUGCUCUCAGGCCAUGAUAAAAUAAACCACUUAAUAAUUUUGUCUAAGCACAUACAAAGAAAAUUCAAGGUCAGUUUACCACUCACAAAAUACCAAACAUCCUUCUGGUUAAAACGAGUGACAGCUGCCAUAUAUGUGUGUGUGUGUGUGUGUGUGUAUAUAUAUGUGUGUAUAUAUAUGUGUAUAUAUAUGUAUAUGCGUAUGUAUGUGUAUAUAUGUGUGUAUAUGUGUGUGUGUGUAUAUAUAUAUGCAAUUAUACCUUUAUCCCUACUCUAGUCCACCUUCCUAUAAAUAAGAUGUAUUGAGAUGCUCAAUCCUACAGUUGCCCCCAUUCUGACAGCAUCCAAUCGAGUGAAUCCUCACUUCCUUGAAAUCACCCAACCAGGGCAAAAUCCUAAAAGAGGUUCUUUGUGACACCCUCUGUCUGAGAAGUCCUAUGGUUCUCUGUGAUGAAUAGACCCAACUUGUUCAAAUACAGGCAUUUCUGGUGGGCUUUGGCUGAAGGCAUUCACACCCCCCAGUGAAUAUCUUGCACUUCUAAUUGUGUCUCAGGGCGUGCCUGGUGGAGGACCUGACUGAGACAAUUGUGACUGGAUGUGGUCUGAGAGCAGGCAGUAGGAUGAGGCUUGGGGACUGGCUCACUCACUGCCCAACUGGUAGCAAAACCCAUCUGGAGCAGCGUGUGAGGUAUGGACACUCACUCACACGAGGGGGUGGCCCAGUUGCUGAGGAUUCCACCAGUGGUACCCUGGGAAAAUAUCCCUGUGGAGGGGAAUGGGAGGAGUCAAACUGUGGAAGAUAAGAGGAGUACUGCACACAAGGACAGUAGAGUGUCAGUUCCCUGCAGAGGGAUAGUGAGGAACUGAUGAGGUGACUGUGAGUGCCCGGGGCCUCUGUCGUUAUCUUGGAGGAUCACUUUGAGGUCAGGAGUUCAUGACCAGCCUGGCCAACUUGGCGAAACCCUGUCUCUACUAAAAAUACAUUAAUUAGCGUGGUGGCGGGUGCCUGUAGUCCCAGCUACUCGGGAGGCUGAGGCAGGAGAAUCGCUUGAACCCAGGAGGCCGAGGUUGCAGUGAGCUGAGAUGGCGCCACUGCACCCCAGCUUGGGUGACAGAGCAAAACUCCGUCUCAAAAAUAAACACACAGUACUGCAUCCUGGGGGUGGAGGUGAGGUGACGGUAAAGAUCAGUGCUACCCUUGGAAAUCUGACAGAUACAGUAAGAUGGUCCCUAUCAUAGUUCCAUUUAAUUUGCCAGCCUCAUCUGCAGAAUCCAGAUGGAUCCUGGAGAAAAAUUAACCAAGUAGCCUCAAUCACAAAUGUUGGGUUGGAUAUUACAUCAGUGUUAGAGCAGUUAAGGGCUCAGGUAUGUGGUGAGCAGCCAUUGACUGGGUGAAUCCAUUUUUACCUACCCCAAUUACAAAACAGUUUGCUUUCAUGUGGAACAGAUAGUAUUCCUUUCAGUUUUGCUGCAGGAACAUGUUAACUCUUCCACCCCUGUCAUAAUACAGCCUGAAGAGAUUUACCAUCAAAUACUGUUUUUUUCUCUCUCCUAACUUAAUCCCGAAUUGGAUAAUUUCUCUUCAUCUCCACUGUCACCUGUACGCCAUCACUGUCAUCUCUAGACCGCUCUGCUGUUGAGAGAUUGAUGGAAUCAUUAUGCAAACUAAAAUAGAAUGUUUUAUCUAUCAAAUUGUAUUUCUUUGUCAAUAGUGUUAGGGCACAGCAGGUUCAUUUACUGCUGGUAAGGGUGUAAAUUGUUAGAAACUUUCUGAAUGGCAGUUUGGUAAUAACAAACAAAAAGCUUGUGUCCUUAAAUGCCUUACUUCAAUACCCGAGGCAUAUGGCCUCAAGAAAAAAUUAUGGAAGCAUGCAAAGAUUUUGUUAACAAAGAUAUAAUCAUUGCAGGGUAGAAUUUAGAAAUUUAAGACUGAAAGAUCUUUUCAGUCACCUGCAGCAAGAAAGGAGUCAAAACCGAUGUACGAUCUCAACUAGUAAAAUUUUCUCCUUGCCCAGGGAUCAUGCUGAGUUUAAGGACAGAAAUGCAAAGUGCAGCCUGGGAAAGUGUUUCAACACACAAAAAUAGAACCACCUGUAUGUAGUCUUUUUGAAAGCACAAAAUAAAGAGCAGUCCUACAGUGUUCACUGCUAUGUCCUGAAUGUUGAUGUCCCUUCCAAAAUUCAUAUGUUGGAACCUAAUGUCAAUGUAAUAGUAUUAAGAGGUGGGGCUUUUGGGAAGCAAUGGAGUCAUGAGGGCUUCACCCUCAUGAGUAGGGUAAGUACCCUUACAAAAGAGGCUCAGGGAGGCGCUCUUGCCUCUUCCACCAUGUAAGGACACGUAGCAGGCACCCAUCUCUGAAGAAUGGGCCCUCCCCAGACUCCAGAUCUGCUGGUGCCUUGAUCUUGGACUUAGCCUCUAGGACUGUGAGUGACAUAUUUCUAUUGUUUAUAAAUUAUCCAGUAUAAGUAAGAUAUUUUGUUAGAGCAGCCUGAACGAACUAAGACACUCUAAGCGGGAAACUCACAAAAAAUAUUUGGUAAUGAAAAACAAUAUGCUGUGUUAACGUAUGGUGACAAGUGUUUGCAUUUAAAAAUGUAUUGGAGCCUCGUUUUGAUUAGGCAGUAAAUUUACCUUAAUACGUAAGUUUGACAGUUAUAAUAUGUAAUCAGCUUUUUUUUUUUUGAAGAUGGUGUGAUUGAGGUUAAUGUGAACUGAACUUUCUAUUUCUAAGCUGUCUUCAUCUAAUGUUACCUUUCUGUGGAAAAUCAAUACAAGUCAACCAUUUUUAUUGCCCAGUUGUUCAAAGUUUUAUUCAAAGAGCAAAGAUUUGACAAUGCAUAGAAUUAACAUUGGUUUGUGGGCCACCUUCUGGGCCAGCACCAAAGACUGAAAAAAUAUUUUGCCCCCUAAAAGUUGUAUUGAGUCUUGUCAAAUCACAUUGCUCUGUCAGAAGGUAAGACAAAUCAGUGUGGACUGAGAGCAAGGUCAGCACCAUGAACAGCCAUUCCGGUUCCUUUAAUCCACUGGGAAUUCAUGCAGUGAAGAAGCAACACACCAUGAGGCAAAUGGCUCAAACCCAAAGACCAGAGGUUCAGGAGAUUUUUUUUUUUUUUUUUUUAAUCUGUAGAGAUGGGAUCUCAGUAUCUUGCCCAGGCUGGUCUCGAACUCUUGGGCUCAUGCUGUCCUACCUCAGACUUCCUAGUAGCUGGGUUUUCUUUGGGCUAAUUAUUUUUUUGUAGAGAUGGAGGUCUCGCUGUGUUGCCCAGGCUGGUCUCAAAUUCCUGGCCUCAAGCUCUCCUCCCAUCUCAGCCUCCCAAAGUGUUGGGAUUACAGGCAUGAGCCAUGUGCCCAGUCUAGAAGAUCUUUGACUUCAAAGAACAGAUAAUCUAGAGACCUUCACAAAUGAUCAUGUUGGCACUAUGGUCAUUACACUGAGACCUAUAUAGGAUUGGUUAUUUACAGAAAAACCUUGUGGUAC
Molecule: long non-coding RNA, 3754 nt
Filed under: Pan troglodytes (chimpanzee)
Lineage: Eukaryota; Metazoa; Chordata; Mammalia; Primates; Hominidae
Description: long non-coding RNA NONPTRT012440
Source: RNAcentral